UACGUAGGGUGCGAGCGUUGUCCGGAAUUAUUGGGCGUAAAGAGCUCGUAGGCGGUCUGUCGCGUCGGCUGUGAAAUCCCGAGGCUCAACCUCGGGUCUGCAGUCGAUACGGGCAAACUAGAGUAUUGCAGGGGAGACUGGAAUUCCUGGUGUAGCGGUGAAAUGCGCAGAUAUCGGGAAGAACACCGGUGGCGAAGGCGGGUCUCUGGGCAAUUCCUGACGCUGAGGCGCGAAAGCGUGGGGAGCGAACGGG
This 253-nucleotide ribosomal RNA is filed under the name uncultured bacterium. RNAcentral's name for it is "partial 16S ribosomal RNA". It matches the Rfam family "Bacterial small subunit ribosomal RNA", at positions 524 to 776 of the family's 1533-position model. The record is from RNAcentral.